This 1364-nucleotide ribosomal RNA is filed under the name uncultured beta proteobacterium. Its description in RNAcentral is "16S ribosomal RNA". It matches the Rfam family "Bacterial small subunit ribosomal RNA", at positions 30 to 1393 of the family's 1533-position model. Lineage: Bacteria; Pseudomonadati; Pseudomonadota; Betaproteobacteria. The record is from RNAcentral.
UGAACGCUGGCGGCAUGCCUUACACAUGCAAGUCGAACGGCAGCACGGGUGCUUGCACCUGGUGGCGAGUGGCGAACGGGUGAGUAAUACAUCGGAACAUGUCCUGUAGUGGGGGAUAGCCCGGCGAAAGCCGGAUUAAUACCGCAUACGAUCUACGGAUGAAAGCGGGGGACCUUCGGGCCUCGCGCUAUAGGGUUGGCCGAUGGCUGAUUAGCUAGUUGGUGGGGUAAAGGCCUACCAAGGCGACGAUCAGUAGCUGGUCUGAGAGGACGACCAGCCACACUGGGACUGAGACACGGCCCAGACUUCUACGGGAGGCAGCAGUGGGGAAUUUUGGACAAUGGGCGAAAGCCUGAUCCAGCAAUGCCGCGUGUGUGAAGAAGGCCUUCGGGUUGUAAAGCACUUUUGUCCGGAAAGAAAUCCUUGGCUCUAAUACAGUCGGGGGAUGACGGUACCGGAAGAAUAAGCACCGGCUAACUACGUGCCAGCAGCCGCGGUAAUACGUAGGGUGCGAGCGUUAAUCGGAAUUACUGGGCGUAAAGCGUGCGCAGGCGGUUUGCUAAGACCGAUGUGAAAUCCCCGGGCUCAACCUGGGAACUGCAUUGGUGACUGGCAGGCUAGAGUAUGGCAGAGGGGGGUAGAAUUCCACGUGUAGCAGUGAAAUGCGUAGAGAUGUGGAGGAAUACCGAUGGCGAAGGCAGCCCCCUGGGCCAAUACUGACGCUCAUGCACGAAAGCGUGGGGAGCAAACAGGAUUAGAUACCCUGGUAGUCCACGCCCUAAACGAUGUCAACUAGUUGUUGGGGAUUCAUUUCCUUAGUAACGUAGCUAACGCGUGAAGUUGACCGCCUGGGGAGUACGGUCGCAAGAUUAAAACUCAAAGGAAUUGACGGGGACCCGCACAAGCGGUGGAUGAUGUGGAUUAAUUCGAUGCAACGCGAAAAACCUUACCUACCCUUGACAUGGUCGGAAUCCCGCUGAGAGGUGGGAGUGCUCGAAAGAGAACCGGCGCACAGGUGCUGCAUGGCUGUCGUCAGCUCGUGUCGUGAGAUGUUGGGUUAAGUCCCGCAACGAGCGCAACCCUUGUCCUUAGUUGCUACGCAAGAGCACUCUAAGGAGACUGCCGGUGACAAACCGGAGGAAGGUGGGGAUGACGUCAAGUCCUCAUGGCCCUUAUGGGUAGGGCUUCACACGUCAUACAAUGGUCGGAACAGAGGGUUGCCAACCCGCGAGGGGGAGCUAAUCCCAGAAAACCGAUCGUAGUCCGGAUUGCACUCUGCAACUCGAGUGCAUGAAGCUGGAAUCGCUAGUAAUCGCGGAUCAGCAUGCCGCGGUGAAUACGUUCCCGGGUCUUGUACACACUGC